This 279-nucleotide ribosomal RNA is filed under the name Clostridioides difficile. RNAcentral's name for it is "partial 16S ribosomal RNA". It matches the Rfam family "Bacterial small subunit ribosomal RNA", at positions 562 to 842 of the family's 1533-position model. The record is from RNAcentral. Lineage: Bacteria; Bacillati; Bacillota; Clostridia; Peptostreptococcales; Peptostreptococcaceae.
AAAGGGUGCGUAGGCGGUCUUUCAAGUCAGGAGUGAAAGGCUACGGCUCAACCGUAGUAAGCUCUUGAAACUGGGAGACUUGAGUGCAGGAGAGGAGAGGGGAAUUCCUAGUGUAGCGGUGAAAUGCGUAGAUAUUAGGAGGAACACCAGUUGCGAAGGCGGCUCUCUGGACUGUAACUGACGCUGAGGCACGAAAGCGUGGGGAGCAAACAGGAUUAGAUACCCUGGUAGUCCACGCUGUAAACGAUGAGUACUAGGUGUCGGGGGUUACCCCCUUCG